Long non-coding RNA from Vespula vulgaris, 544 nucleotides. RefSeq lists it as uncharacterized. The transcript has 3 exons. The record is from RefSeq and is a predicted model, not a curated record. NCBI's taxonomy places the organism in Eukaryota, Metazoa, Arthropoda, Insecta, Hymenoptera, Vespidae.
UCAAAUCGUUUCGUUAGUUUUUCAUAUCGUUUUACUUCUUAUUCGUAUAAAAUUGUUAAAUCAUACGGCGAAAAAUUAAUAAAAGAAUUAAUCUUAAUCGGUAUAUAUUUAUUAAGAAACCUUAGAGGAAUUAUAAAAGUACGUGAAAAUAAUAAUCUAAUUAUGUGUUAUUUGAAGGUUACAUAAUAUUUCGGGAACUCAGAAGCCAUUGGAAGAUCGAUGUGAUAAACAAGAAAUACAUGUAUAACGCAACGAUCUUCGAGCAAAAACAUCAAAAUAAACAAAUUCGACGUCGAGAAAAAAGCAACCUCCGUUUUUCGUUUGAUCGAAAAUAUGUAGGUAAGUAUCUUCUGUUGCCUUAAGUCAACCGAGUAAACCGUGCCACGUGCAAAAAACGUACACGACGAGAUCGGGUCGACGUAAAGCUAAAUUUAGAUUCAAAGGUAGAACUGCUGGACGACGUCGCUCGUGGAGGUUCUUACGCGCGCGUGAAUCUUGAACUCGUGACAUUCGUAGUCCAAUUAAGACUACUUUCAUCGGCGAG